Molecule: non-coding RNA, 306 nt
Organism: Camelina sativa (false flax)
Lineage: Eukaryota; Viridiplantae; Streptophyta; Magnoliopsida; Brassicales; Brassicaceae
Source: RefSeq, a predicted model, not a curated record
GUUCGCUCUCUCCCGUCUGUCUGUCUUUUUUAUAUUCCCCUCACCAACUCGGGGCUCAAUUGGGAGCAAUCAGCUUCUUCUUCGAUUUUUUCCUGUUCGAAUCCCCCAGAAGAUAGAUAUACAUAUGGCUACAUCAAGGUUCCAAGCGUUCUUGAACAGUCCGAUUGGCCCUAAAACCACCCAUUUCUGGGGGCCUAUUGCUAACUGGGGUUUUGUUGCUGCUGGUUUGGUGGAUAUGCAGAAGCCUCCUGAAAUGAUUUCUGGAAACAUGUCUUCAGGUAACAUAUGUAAUAAAGAGAUCCCCCC